This is a long non-coding RNA of Heterocephalus glaber (naked mole-rat), 1679 nucleotides long. NCBI's taxonomy places the organism in Eukaryota, Metazoa, Chordata, Mammalia, Rodentia, Bathyergidae. The record is from Ensembl.
CGGCCCCGAAGCAGUCGACAGCCCCCUUCACCUUCCAAAGAGCGCCGUGGGCAACAGCAGCUCCUCUGGGGCUCGGGGUGGGGCUCCGGGGAAGGGAGGCCCUACGGGGAGAAGCCCAGCGGCCGGGCGUGUGUAAAGCAGACUCCGCCAACAGCUGACAAGGCCUCCAGAGGAGAGCGCCCCACGAGGCCAUCCGCAAAGCCCCAGCACAACAUCGGCUUCCUGAAGUGAGCGGAAUAGCACACGAUGUACGGGCAGCACGGACAGUGGGAGGUGGCCCUGUGAGGCUCUGGCUCCCAAAAGGAGAGGAGGGUGGCGCUCCGGGGACCGAGGAAGCGCACUGGAAACGGGUGCCACGGAGGACAGACACGGGCACCACGGAAGCCAGGGCUGCUGCUGCCGGGCUCCUCCCUGGGGCAGAGUCCACACACCCCAGACAGCUUUGGAGGUGAAACCCUGGGAGGCUGAGGGAGUGUCUGCGGGAGCUGGGGGGGGCCUCGAGGCGGGGCACCGUGAGAAGGCACCGCCUGGCUGCCCUCAGGACCACCUUGUGGGAGUGUCAGAGGCGUUAGGUGACUGGUGCCUGGGAGAGGCCGGGACAGCACCUCGCAUUCAGUGUUGAGUUGUGGGUUGGAGACUGGAGCCACUGCGUCCUGAGUGUGACAGCGAGUCUUCAUUGUCAACGUGACUGGCGGGAGAGCCAGCAGAAGGCUGGUAAAGCUCGCUCUGCGGGUGUCUGGUGGGUCAGGUGUGACCUUGGGGAGCAGAUCUGGUUCUUGGCCUCCUCCUCUCUGGGUAUUCUCUGCUGUCUCUGCUUCCUGGUCACCAGGAGGCGAGCAGAUUCCUUCCCCAGGCCUCCCGUCCUUAGCACUCCUGCCUUGGAGCCAGCCAUGGACUGAGUCCUCUGGAACCGUGAGCCAAUGUGAACCUCUCCUCCUUUAUGUUACAGCGGUCGCAUGUUCUGGCCCCAGCGUUGCUCAGCUCCAGCGAUUCAUUUCCUUUGGGAAGGUGAGGCUUCGCCACAGAAGCAUGGCUGCUUCGAGGGACGCUGGGAGCGAGGCCCAUCCGCCUACUCACUCAGAGAGAAGCCCUCACCCGCAAGGCUAAACAUCGCAUGAUGUCUGUGUGUAGAAACCCAGAGUAAAGCGUCAACCAAAGAGCAAAGUGAACGAGAAGUCAGCACUGCCACCCCUGCCUGGACGCAUACCCUCGCUCUGGAGGAGCUCACGGUGUGGAUUCCAGCUGACGACCCUAAACACUGUGGAGUUUGACUCGGAGCCUGCGCUGCGCUUCUGUGCCCAUGUGCGCGUGUGCCUCUGUGUCCAUGCACUGUCUUCGCCCCUCACUCUGCUCCUGCACCGCCUGCCCGCACAGACGUGGGUCUCUGGCCUUCUCCUUCUGCACCGCGCUUUCCUGUUGGGCGCCCUGAUGCAUCUCCCACGCUGCGGCCCCUCCUUGAGCUGCAGGGGCUCAGGCAGGGCAGGGGGUUAGAAUUCCUCUUUCCUCUGCACACCAUUUCCACUGCUGCACAAAUCCCCCGUCAGCCUAAGGAUGCUCCCUGUCUUUCAGUGGAAUAAUUCAUGUACAAACUGCUGUAUUUAACCUUUUUGUCUUAUACUUUGAUUGCCUGAGAUCCUCCUGCCUCAGCUUCCAGUGUGCUCGGAUUCCCAGCAUGCACC